GCCCCAUUAGCUCAUGCUGGUAGAGCGCCUGUUUUGUACUCAGGAAGUCGCGGGUUCGAUUCCUGAAUGGGGCUUCA
This 77-nucleotide transfer RNA is filed under the name Hyphomicrobiaceae bacterium. RNAcentral describes it as "tRNA-Thr". It matches the Rfam family "tRNA". From Rfam's summary of the family: Transfer RNA (tRNA) molecules are approximately 80 nucleotides in length. Their secondary structure includes four short double-helical elements and three loops (D, anti-codon, and T loops). Further hydrogen bonds mediate the characteristic L-shaped molecular structure. tRNAs have two regions of fundamental functional importance: the anti-codon, which is responsible for specific mRNA codon recognition, and the 3' end, to which the tRNAs corresponding amino acid is attached (by aminoacyl-tRNA synthetases). tRNAs cope with the degeneracy of the genetic code in two manners: having more than one tRNA (with a specific anti-codon) for a particular amino acid; and 'wobble' base-pairing, i.e. permitting non-standard base-pairing at the 3rd anti-codon position. The record is from RNAcentral. Lineage: Bacteria; Pseudomonadati; Pseudomonadota; Alphaproteobacteria; Hyphomicrobiales; Hyphomicrobiaceae.